This 85-nucleotide transfer RNA is filed under the name Candidatus Uhrbacteria bacterium. Its description in RNAcentral is "tRNA-Leu". It matches the Rfam family "tRNA". Rfam says of the family: Transfer RNA (tRNA) molecules are approximately 80 nucleotides in length. Their secondary structure includes four short double-helical elements and three loops (D, anti-codon, and T loops). The record is from RNAcentral. Lineage: Bacteria; Candidatus Uhriibacteriota.
GCCCCCGUGGUGGAACGGGAGACACGGUAGGCUUAGGACCUACUGCUCAUCACCGAGCGUGCAGGUUCAAAUCCUGCCGGGGGCA